ACGAUGCCGUAGACCCGAAACCGGGAGAUCUAGCCAUGUCCAGGGCGAAGGCCGGGUAACACCGACUGGAGGCCCGAACCCACGCAAGUUGAAAAUUGCGGGGAUGAGGUGUGGGUAGGGGUGAAAUGCCAAUCGAACUCGGAAAUAGCUGGUUCUCCCCGAAAUAGCUUUAGGGCUAGCCUCGAGUGAUGAGUCUUGGAGGUAGAGCACUGAUUGGACGAGGGGUCCCCACAGGAUUACCGAAUUCAGUCAAACUCCGAAUGCCAAUGACUUUAACUCGGGAGUCAGACUGCGAGUG
RNAcentral lists this ribosomal RNA (298 nucleotides) under Shouchella clausii. Its description in RNAcentral is "Bacillus clausii partial 23S ribosomal RNA". It matches the Rfam family "Bacterial large subunit ribosomal RNA", at positions 701 to 997 of the family's 2925-position model. Lineage: Bacteria; Bacillati; Bacillota; Bacilli; Caryophanales; Bacillaceae. The record is from RNAcentral.